Chinchilla lanigera (long-tailed chinchilla) is the source of this 1080-nucleotide long non-coding RNA. Lineage: Eukaryota; Metazoa; Chordata; Mammalia; Rodentia; Chinchillidae. The record is from Ensembl.
GUGACAUUCUUCAGGCUGUGUCUCACCAACUUUCUUGGGAAGAGUUAGAAGCAGACCUGGCUCUGCAAAGCGGAUUGGAAGGAAGCCCAAAGGCAUCCGUCAGUUCCUGAGUGCCAGGCUUCACUGUUGGAGGACUUUGUCACAGCAGCAGAACGCUAAUUCACACUCUGACAAUGUAUCAGUUAAAAAGUAAAGGAUAAAUCACAUGCUUCAGUAAUGAAAAAUCUAAGAGUGAAGACGAAGAAAAAGCAAAAGGAGGACAGAGAAGAGAUGGGAAAAGAACUACAUUUAUGACCCAUAUUUCCUUCACCUUGUCUGCCAGGAGUCAAAGAUUUCAUCAUGUUUCUUGGAAAUUUAUGUGCUCACAUAGUGUUCUGGAGUUCUGCCAACUCUGGUAGAGGUCAAGAGAUGGAAAAAAAGGACAUCAAGGGGAGAGUCAGGAUGUGGCUGCCUGUCCUUAUCUGCCCAAGUGACCUUACACAGGAGGAAAAUGGACUUUUGAAGUAAAUCUUUGCCUGAAGCAACCAGAAGCCCUCCACUUCACCUUUAGUAACAAAAAGGAAUGUACUGAUGGGAACUGUCUCAGAAUGAAAAAAGUCACUGAAUACACAAUACUCAAAAUUAAAGGAGGAAAAGUUCAUUUUGGCUCACAGUUUAUAGAGGUUUCAGUCCAUAGUCAGCUGGCUCCAAGGCAGAGCAGUAUGACAGAGGAGAAACAUUAAUGGCAAAGCAGGAGAGGCAGGAGGAAGCAAAGCAGUGAAGCAGCAAGUGAUGGGAGCAACCUCUUCCUGUCUGUUCUGUUCAAUCCAAUACUCCCCGUCAAGAUGAGUAGCACUCACACUGAGAGUGGGCCACCCUUAAUCCCAACAUCACAGCAUCACACACUUAAUCCCAGCAUCACACACCUUUGACCCAGCCACCUCCAUAAAGCCCCACCUAUGACUGCAUGAGGCCAGCUACAAGCCACAACAGGAAUAGACACAGAAACUUGAGUUCGAGAAUCUUGAAUUGAAUCUAAAAUUGCCUUCUUGUGUGACCACGGCCAAAUCAUUCCCUUGUCGGUUUCCUUACAAAUGAAAC